AAUCAGGUGCGGGCGGCUGGAGCAUGGCUUUGUGAGGCCUCUGAGGGGACCCGGCGGUGGCGGCCACGGCGGGACGGGCCGCCCACCAGUUGAACUCCGACAGCUGAGGCGGCUGAGGAGGUAUCCGCGGCCCCACCACCGAGGGGAGGGGGACACCACUGAGCGCGGGGCUUACAGCGAGAGCCCGGGCUUUCCUGGCUCUCGCUUUCGCCCUCGCCCUCCCCGCUGCUGAGUGGGCUCCGGAGGUGAUUCCCGAGACCCGCGUACGCCUGCAGAGACGGAGGUGUGGACUGCCGUGGACGAGAACGGGGCUCCGCCUGCCAGAAGCGCAGCGAUGAUGAGGCAGGAGGGCUAGUGCUGUCGGAUCUUCCCCGGGUGAUGAGCGGGUCCUGGGAAGUCAGGCGUUGAGGCUGUCACCUGCCAGCUGCUGGUUGUGGUGAUCCUGAGACAGGUUCUGCCCCAAGUACCAUUUUAAAGGGCUCUGUUUCAGGUUUUGGGCCAACUCCUCUAAAGUACCUAUUUUAGAGAAGUCAUUUUGUGUUUGAUAUUCUUAUAUAUUAAUAAGAACCGAAGGGCAACAAUGGGAUUUAAAAUGAGUGACAAAUUGUAGACAUGAUUUUUCAAAACUCAUUUUCUUCAAAAACCAUACACAGGCUACUAUGCAACGGUUAGUAAAAUACAGUUUGCCUAAUGAGGCUUCACUUUAAAAGACAAAUAUUCCUAGAGUGUAGAUGCUAACUCUCUGCCACCGUUAUAGGCGUUUUCUCUAUCAUUCUUAAAUAGGUCCAUUAAGUAAAAGAAACUUUUUAAAUAAGCAUUCCAGUAAUGUCAAUAGGUUUUGCCAGUUCCUAUGGUAACCCAUUUUCUCUAGUCCAAUUUUAUAAGAUGCAGAAAUGUCACGUUCUUUAACCGGCAUGAGUUGACGACACCCUUCCCCCCCACACACACACACACAAACAGCUGAAACCACAGUAGUUAAAAUAUUGUGACGUUUUUAACUGCUGAUUUCAAUGCUAGUGAUAGCGAACAAGUAAAAUUUAAGAUGGCCUGUAUUUAGGCUUCUUUAUUUUUCUAACUAUCCAAACUUAGAAGUAUAUGCAGAAUUUUGGAAAGACAUUUAGAAAAUUAUCUAGACAAGCCUACAUUCAGAGGACACAGAUACAACACCUUACUUUCACAAUCCAGAUCGUGGUUGUGACUUACAAUUUUUUCUUGGCUGACCAGGUGUGAAAGGUAUUGUAUUUUGGAGUGCUUACAUUCCAGUAGAGUCUAAGAACAUUACAUCAAUGUUUCUAGAAAAGACCGUUUUCAGUGUCAGUAAUUGAAGGAGUAGCU
Molecule: long non-coding RNA, 1335 nt
Filed under: Homo sapiens (human)
Lineage: Eukaryota; Metazoa; Chordata; Mammalia; Primates; Hominidae
Description: non-protein coding lnc-KLHL34-2:5
Source: RNAcentral